GACGAACGCUGGCGGCGUGCCUAAUACAUGCAAGUAGAACGCUGAAGGAGGAGCUUGCUUCUCUGGAUGAGUUGCGAACGGGUGAGUAACGCGUAGGUAACCUGCCUGGUAGCGGGGGAUAACUAUUGGAAACGAUAGCUAAUACCGCAUAAUAGUAGAUGUUGCAUGACAUUUGCUUAAAAGGUGCAAUUGCAUCACUACCAGAUGGACCUGCGUUGUAUUAGCUAGUUGGUGGGGUAACGGCUCACCAAGGCGACGAUACAUAGCCGACCUGAGAGGGUGAUCGGCCACCCUGGGACUGAGACACGGCCCAGACUCCUACGGGAGGCAGCAGUAGGGAAUCUUCGGCAAUGGACGGAAGUCUGACCGAGCAACGCCGCGUGAGUGAAGAAGGUUUUCGGAUCGUAAAGCUCUGUUGUAAGAGAAGAACGAGUGUGAGAGUGGAAAGUUCACACUGUGACGGUAGCUUACCAGAAAGAGACGGCUAACUACGUG
RNAcentral lists this ribosomal RNA (495 nucleotides) under uncultured bacterium. Its description in RNAcentral is "partial 16S ribosomal RNA". It matches the Rfam family "Bacterial small subunit ribosomal RNA", at positions 28 to 507 of the family's 1533-position model. The record is from RNAcentral.